UACGAAGGGGGCUAGCGUUGCUCGGAAUCACUGGGCGUAAAGGGUGCGUAGGCGGGUCUUUAAGUCAGGGGUGAAAUCCUGGAGCUCAACUCCAGAACUGCCUUUGAUACUGAGGAUCUUGAGUUCGGGAGAGGUGAGUGGAACUGCGAGUGUAGAGGUGAAAUUCGAUAGAUAUUCGCAAGAACACCAGUGGCGAAGGCGGCUCACUGGCCCGAUACUGACGCUGAGGCACGAAAGCGUGGGGAAGCAAACAGGG
RNAcentral lists this ribosomal RNA (256 nucleotides) under uncultured bacterium. RNAcentral's name for it is "partial 16S ribosomal RNA". It matches the Rfam family "Bacterial small subunit ribosomal RNA", at positions 524 to 777 of the family's 1533-position model. The record is from RNAcentral.